RNAcentral lists this ribosomal RNA (449 nucleotides) under uncultured bacterium. RNAcentral's name for it is "partial 16S ribosomal RNA". It matches the Rfam family "Bacterial small subunit ribosomal RNA", at positions 29 to 523 of the family's 1533-position model. The record is from RNAcentral.
AACGAACGCUGGCGGCAUGCCUAACACAUGCAAGUCGAACGAGACCUUCGGGUCUAGUGGCGCACGGGUGCGUAACGCGUGGGAACCUGCCUCUAGGUUCGGAAUAACUCAGAGAAAUUUGAGCUAAUACCAGAUAAUGUCUUCGGACCAAAGAUUUAUCGCCUUUAGAUGGGCCCGCGUUGGAUUAGCUGGUUGGUGGGGUAAAGGCCUACCAAGGCGACGAUCCAUAGCUGGUCUGAGAGGAUGAUCAGCCACACUGGGACUGAGACACGGCCCAGACUCCUACGGGAGGCAGCAGUGGGGAAUAUUGGACAAUGGGCGAAAGCCUGAUCCAGCAAUGCCGCGUGAGUGAUGAAGGCCUUAGGGUUGUAAAGCUCUUUUACCCGAGAUGAUAAUGACAGUAUCGGGAGAAUAAGCUCCGGCUAACUCCGUGCCAGCCGCCGCCGUAA